GCUGGCCGAGAUCAGGAACUCAAAGGUGAACUCGAACACACGAUUUAGACAGGUUUGGGCUGCUUAGAUCGCGUAAUACCCUACGUUCUGUAUGUUGGUUGUAUUGUAUUGAUUGAACUUGUUUGGAGCGGGUUCCUACCUCACCUUAUAUUGCCGGGGGCAGGCUUACAUGUCAAUUGUUUACAAGAAUACUAGUCAGAUUCGACUAGCGAGUCCUACUCUAAUUGCUAUGAGUAGUUUCCUAAUCAUUGACUAGUUCUUGU
Molecule: long non-coding RNA, 263 nt
Filed under: Setaria viridis
Lineage: Eukaryota; Viridiplantae; Streptophyta; Magnoliopsida; Poales; Poaceae
Description: long non-coding RNA (SVIR_LNC002295)
Source: RNAcentral